Regulatory RNA element from Shimia sp. SK013, 54 nucleotides. It matches the Rfam family "COG3860 RNA". NCBI's taxonomy places the organism in Bacteria, Pseudomonadati, Pseudomonadota, Alphaproteobacteria, Rhodobacterales, Roseobacteraceae. The record is from Rfam.
GGGUCCGCAGUUCACCCAGGCGCCGCCGGUCAUCUGACUUUGCUAAACCUGCGA